UCUACGAACGACUGCGGACCCAAUCCUCCAUGUAGAAAAGCAAGAAUGGCAUCUUUGAAUAGACCAAAUCGCUGACUUCUCCGAAUGACUGCGCCCACAAUUUUCCGUGUAGAAAAGCAACAAUCGCAUCUUUGAAUAGCUGAAGAAGUGCACUUUUCGGACAUAUAUG
This is a long non-coding RNA of Xenopus laevis (African clawed frog), 169 nucleotides long. RefSeq lists it as uncharacterized. The transcript is spliced from 2 exons. The record is from RefSeq and is a predicted model, not a curated record. NCBI's taxonomy places the organism in Eukaryota, Metazoa, Chordata, Amphibia, Anura, Pipidae.